GUAACAAGGUCUCCGUUGGUGAACCAGCGGAGGGAUCAUUAUAGAGUUUUCUAAACUCCCAACCCAUGUGAACUUACCAUUGUUGCCUCGGCAGAAGCUACCUGGUUUACCUUACCUUGGAACGGCCUACCCUGUAGCGCCUUACCCUGGAACGGCCUACCCUGUAACGGCUGCCGGUGGACUACCAAACUCUUGUUAUUUUAUUGUAAUCUGAGCGUCUUAUUUUAAUAAGUCAAAACUUUCAACAACGGAUCUCUUGGUUCUGGCAUCGAUGAAGAACGCAGCGAAAUGCGAUAAGUAAUGUGAAUUGCAGAAUUCAGUGAAUCAUCGAAUCUUUGAACGCACAUUGCGCCCAUUAGUAUUCUAGUGGGCAUGCCUGUUCGAGCGUCAUUUCAACCCUUAAGCCUAGCUUAGUGUUGGGAGCCUACUGCUUUUGCUAGCGGUAGCUCCUGAAAUACAACGGCGGAUCUGCGAUAUCCUCUGAGCGUAGUAAUUUUUAUCUCGCUUUUGACUGGAGUUGCAGCGUCUUUAGCCGCUAAACCCCCCAAUUUUUAAUGGUUGACCUCGGAUCAGGUAGGAAUACCCGCUGAACUUAAGCAUAU
This 602-nucleotide ribosomal RNA is filed under the name Pestalotiopsis scoparia. RNAcentral describes it as "eukaryotic LSU rRNA". The stretch from base 237 to 390 matches the Rfam family "5.8S ribosomal RNA". The record is from RNAcentral. Lineage: Eukaryota; Fungi; Ascomycota; Sordariomycetes; Amphisphaeriales; Sporocadaceae.